Molecule: unclassified non-coding RNA, 1342 nt
Filed under: Hevea brasiliensis (rubber tree)
Lineage: Eukaryota; Viridiplantae; Streptophyta; Magnoliopsida; Malpighiales; Euphorbiaceae
Source: RNAcentral
UGGACUGUUGUCCUUGACUUUGAGUUCUCUUGGACUGUUGUCCUUAUCUGGUACUGCCACCUGAUUCAUAACAUUGCUACUCCCUUUAAAAUCAGACUUGUCCUCAAGUCUGAAUACAGGAAAUUGGUUUCGGAGGUCCACGAUGUCUAACCAGGAUGCAUCUUCCUGAGGAAGGUCUUUCCAUUUAAUCAAAACUUGAACUGAAGUAUUCCCAUCUAGCUGCACUUUUUUAGUUUGCAGUACUUGUUUUGGUUCUAGCAGCUCUAUGUCAAUGUCUAAGUGUUGCGGUAACUAAUUAGCAACCUCAUGCUCACCUCUAACCUUCUUUAACAAGGACACAUGGAAAAUAGGAUGAAUUCGGACACCAUCAGGCAAUUGAAACCUUUUUAUUAUCUUUUAUGGCCCAUAGUAUCGUGCUGAAAGUUUUAGGUUAACUUUGGCAUGAAGAGAGUGCUGGCAGUGAGGUCACAAUUUAAGAAACACAAAGUCACCCACAUUAUAGGAGACAUCCUGACAAUGUUUAUUAGCUGCUAUUGUCAUUCGAUUUUGAGCCCUUUGCAAAUUAAACUUCAACUAACCUAGGAUUUCAUCUCUAUCUUGCAAUGCUUGCGCAACUUCUUCAACUUUGGUUUCUCCUGGAAAAUAAUGUUGAAUAGUUGGAGGUGUUCGUCCAUAUCCUCACCUGAAAAGGCGUAAUCGCAACAGCUGUAUGAUAGCUGGUGUUAUACCAAAAUUCAGCCCAAUGUAACCACUUAUGCCAAUCUUUUGGCUGGUCUGAAGCGAAACAACACAAAUAUGUUUUGAGACCACGUUUCAAAACUUCUAUUUGGCCAUCUGUUUCAGGAUGAUAGGCUGUACUCAUCCAUAAUUUAGUGCCAUGCAGACGAAACAAUUCAAACCAAAAAUUACUAAGGAACAAAUGGUCCCUGUCACUAACGAUGGGCCUUGGCAUGCCAUAUAAUUUCACAAUAUUAUGAAUAAAUAGGUCAGCAACACUUUUUGCAGUAAAUGGAUGCUUUAAACUCAAGAAGUGCCCAUAUUUUCAUAAUCUGUCAACUACAACAAAAAUGUGAUCCAUCCCUCUUGACUUUGGAAGGCCAGUUAUAAAAUCCAUUGAAAUAUCUUCCCACACCAUUUCAGGUAUUGGCAAUGGCCGCAACAAUCCCGCUGGAGGAAGGGUCUCAUUUAUUUUUUUGACAAAUUAAACACGAGGCAACAAAAUUAGUAACUGACUUCAUCAUACUCUGCCAAUAUAGAUUUGUUGCUAAUCGCUUAUAGGUUCUAUAAACCCUAGAAUGGCCCCUAGAUGAGGUAGAGUGAAACUCGAUAAUUAAUUUUGAUA